GACUACCGGGGUAUCUAAGCCCGUUUGCUACCCUAGCUUUCGCGUCUGAGUGUCAGGAAUGGUCCAGGAGGCCGCCUUCGCCACCGGUGUUCCUCCAGAUAUCUGCGCAUUCCACCGCUACACCUGGAAUUCCACCUCCCUCUACCAUCCUCUAGUUCUGUAGUUUAGAACGGCCUCUCCCAGUUGAGCCAGGAGCUUUCACGCCCUACUUACAGUACCACCUACACGCGCUUUACGCCCAGUAAAUCCGGAUAACGUUUGCCUCCUACGUGUUACCGCGGCUGCUGGCACGUAGUUAGCCGAGACUUAUUCUGGAAGUACAUUCCUUCCUAUUCCUUCCAAAAAGUGCUUUACGACCCGAAGGCCUUCUUCGCACACGCGGUGUUGCUAGAUCAGACUUUCGUCCAUUUCUAAUAUUCCCCACUGCAGCCGCCCGUAGG
Molecule: ribosomal RNA, 440 nt
Filed under: uncultured Anaerolineaceae bacterium
Lineage: Bacteria; Bacillati; Chloroflexota; Anaerolineae; Anaerolineales; Anaerolineaceae
Description: partial 16S ribosomal RNA
Source: RNAcentral